This 241-nucleotide long non-coding RNA is filed under the name Erythranthe guttata (spotted monkey flower). RNAcentral describes it as "long non-coding RNA (EGUT_LNC000924)". Lineage: Eukaryota; Viridiplantae; Streptophyta; Magnoliopsida; Lamiales; Phrymaceae. The record is from RNAcentral.
GGGUCAAAAUGAACGAAACCGGGUUCAACCGGGUAAAACCCGGAAACCGGCGAACCGGUUAAUGACCCCGGUUUUUGUCAAAAAAAGUAUAUGGUGGACGGAUCUCGGCCGUAAAGGCUGUUGUGUGGGCGGAUCUGGGCGGCGGUGGGUUGAAUCCGGUGGUCGGAGAUUGGAGGUGGACGGAUCUCGGUUGUAAAGACUAUAUUAGGUGGGCGAAUCUGGGCGGUGGUGGGCUGAAUUC